Molecule: ribosomal RNA, 120 nt
Filed under: uncultured bacterium
Lineage: Bacteria
Description: partial 16S ribosomal RNA
Rfam family: Bacterial small subunit ribosomal RNA
Source: RNAcentral
AACGAACGCUGGCGGCAGGCUUAACACAUGCAAGUCGAACGCCCCGCAAGGGGAGUGGCAGACGGGUGAGUAACGCGUGGGAAUCUACCCAGCUCUACGGAAUAACCCAGGGAAACUUGG